GAUGAAGAACGCAGUGAAAUGCGAUAAGUAAUGUGAAUUGCAGAAUUCAGUGAAUCAUCGAAUCUUUGAACGCACCUUGCACCCUUUGGCAUUCCGAAGGGUAUGCUCGUUUGAGUGUCAUUGUACUCUCACUCUCCCGAUGCUUUUGGAUCGGGAGUGGUGGACUUGGGUGUUGCUGCUUUGCUGUGGCUCGCCUCAAAUGGAGUAGUGCAACUCUUGGUUGGACAUAGUACGGCGUGAUAAGUGUCUUCGCCGGCGCCUCAUUAUAGAGGGUGGCCGAUCGGGAGCUCUGUGCUUCAAACCGUCUUCGGACAACAUCUGACAACUUGACCUCAAAUCGAGUAGGACUACCCGCUGAACUUAAGCAUAUCAAUAAGCGGAGGA
This 384-nucleotide unclassified non-coding RNA is filed under the name soil metagenome. Its description in RNAcentral is "partial contains 5.8S ribosomal RNA, internal transcribed spacer 2, and large subunit ribosomal RNA". The stretch from base 1 to 120 matches the Rfam family "5.8S ribosomal RNA", at positions 35 to 154 of the family's 154-position model. The record is from RNAcentral.